Lytechinus pictus (painted urchin) is the source of this 3325-nucleotide long non-coding RNA. RefSeq lists it as uncharacterized. The transcript is spliced from 4 exons. The record is from RefSeq and is a predicted model, not a curated record. Lineage: Eukaryota; Metazoa; Echinodermata; Echinoidea; Temnopleuroida; Toxopneustidae.
GUAAACAAGCGAUCCCGUACGAAGCUAUCGUCACUAAUUUUUUUGUGCGGGGUAAAAUUUUAUUUUCUUCUUUUUAUACCCAAUAUUCUGUAAAAUAAUAAAAAUGGAGGUAACCAUGAACUAAAUUGGCCUUCAGAGUCUUCACGGACGCUUAUGGAUCAGGGUGGUUCGUUUAGGCAUCGCUUGUGCCGCUGUUUUUGGGAGAAGGUGCCCUUGAUAGCUGAGUGUUUAAAAGUAGACUGGCGUCAUCAUGUUGGACAUUUCUCCAAUUAAUCGUAUCCAGUUGAAGGAGCUAAACAGUCGUCUGUGUAGCGCCAUCAACAAGGAACGCCAGUCAUGGAAACCUCUACUCAUCAAGGACCCUCAGGAUAUUGAGGCUGAGAUAGGGCCCAGUCAGCGAGAUGAAAUGGUGCAGUGGUUGCUGGAGUUGAACAUCAAGUUCCGCUUCUGUCCCGAGACAUACAUGCUGAGUGUUACCCUGCUUGAUCAGUUCCUUAUGGCUGUGAAGGUAAAUAAAAUCUCUCAAAAUUUAUUUUGAAGAAAACCAUAAAAUCUGUCUACAUUGCUGUUAAGCCUUUUAUUAAUGAAGAAAACAUGAAAUUGCUUCUUAAAUGUUUUGAUUUAAUUUGAUUGAUAAAGCAUGCAUAAUGAUUCAUAUAAUAUAUUUUAAAGGGUUUAAUGGCUCCAUGCCAUACAUGUAAGACAUCAGUUUCAAGUGUUCAUGUUUUUAAUGAACAAUGUUGACAUCCCUCUUAGGAUUAUGAGCAGAAUUAUUUGGCAUGCAUUCAGAACUUGUGAGAGGAUACUUGGCAAACUAGGCCAAUAUGAUUUCAGGCAUUAGUAUUCAUAGAGGAUUUAUAGGACAAAUAUUACACACAUACAUCACAAAGUACUUGCCAAUAAAUUAGGUAAUUAAUCUUAUGAUUUGUUUUGAAGGAUGCUUGCUUUUAAUAGACUGGUGGUCUGGAUGAUGAAAUUACUCGAAAUUCAAUAAUGAUUUCACCAUCCAUUCAAUCAGGUUUCAUGUAAAGCUAUUUUAUAUUUUUUGUACGUCAUGUCUACUGAGGUGAGCUACUUUGAAAAUGCUCACCUUCAAUAAAUGACCCCAUAUCAAGUAUCGCUUUCAUUUCCCAAUUGCAGUAGGCUUAAGUUAUACAUAAUUUGUUUUAUAUACUGUACAUGUAAUGCUGAAUUAGGUAUGACUGUGGAUGAGAAUAGGCUUAUUGACCCUGUCCAAUUCUAUUGGGAAAGUUGUGGUAAUUGACGAGUUGCCUGAUUUAGCCUCAGGUUUCUUUUAGUCAUGUAAGUCAGUGGGUUUCCCCCUAAAUAGGCCUUCACCCAGGUCACUAUCACUGACAACAGGUUUCUUAAAUUAGAUGGAUGUGACUCAGAUAUCUGGGGCAGUCAUCACUGUGAUAACAAUCAUCAUCAAAUGUCCCCCCAGCAGAGGGGAAUGAUAUGCGUAAGAUGUAGGGGCAACUGUCAAUAGAGACACUGCUUGUACACUAUACAUACUGUACGUGUCUGUAUUUUGCUUGCUAUAAAAAUAUGGAGAUGCUGUGUACAAUGUAUUUAUUGUACAGUAACUGUACAUGGCAUUAAAUACCUUUGUGUGCAAAGUGCAGGGUAAUUACAUGUAUACUACUUCAGUAGUCCUACAUGUGUAUAUCUCCAUGGACAAUUCAAUAUGAUUUUGGUUUUGCAUCAUUUCCCAGGGCUUUGAGAAAAAAAUGAUGUUUAUAUGUUGAUCAUAAAUAAACAAAAUGUAUUUUCCAUACAAAAGAUAGAAAGUCAGACAUAUUUUAUCUGUUCAUGUAAAAAAAAGUAAAUUCAUGUAUACAUACAUGUACAUAAUGUAGAAACUAAAACACAUACAUGUACAUUGUACUAUAGUCUGUAGAUGAUUCAGAACUUGGUUUUGGUUUCCUUUAAGGAUUGAGUCCACAGGCACAGUGUAAUAAUGAAAACAAAGUUAAUUGCUACUUUUAACACUUUAUUAGAAGUCUAUUUACAAAAGUGCAGUGUUCACAUUAUCUUGGCUUUAGUAGUCCCCAGUUGUCAGUUGACUUUCUCAUUGAUCAUACAUACAUACGUGUACAUUAGGCUACUUGUAGUACACAAGAAUGGAAAGCGCAAAGGGAUUGAACUUGCAUUGUAUUGACUCCAGUCCUAAAAUGCAGUGAACCAUAUCAGGGUGGGGUUCAAAAAGAAGCCAACAAGGCAGCAAGUGAGUGUAUCAACUGUAUCCAAUAUCUUUUCUAUUCAAGAUUCCUCACUACAUGUAUAUGGUCUUCCGAACUGGGACAUUUCAUUUUGGGGUUCAAUUUAUACUGAUUAUGAUGAACAAUUCUAUGUUACAUUUUGUUGUUCAUUAGUCCUUUAUUCCACUCACUGGAUUUCUUGCUUGUUUUUUUUAUUUUUUUCAUUUGGAGUCCUACAUUUAUUAAACUCUUCAAUACGGAACAUAAUUCAAGAAAAAAACAAAAACUGACUCGUAAUCUACAUGUAUAGGUGAUAAACUGUAGUCACUCAAAAGUGCAUUUACAGUGCUGGGUGUGAAAUAGAUUUAUUUUGAUUUUGUGUUUGGGAAAUGGAAAUCCAUUCUUAAUUAAAAAUCGGAAACUAUUCUUACAUGUAUAUCCAACAUCUGUGCAUGAAACACAUAAGAUUUUUUGUUGCAUUUUAAUAGCCGUCAACUUUCUUUAUGGUCGAUGAUUUAGACCAAAAUGAAUUAACUACUACGAUGAAUAUGAUCAACAUGUACAUUGUAUGAUGUAGAUCAUGUGUUGAAUUACCUCAGAAAAUAGCCGACAACUUUCUUUAUGGUCGAUGAUUUAGACCAAAAUGAUACGAUGAAUAUGAUAGACAGGUACAUUGUAUGAUGUAGAUCAUGUGUUGAAUUACCUCAGAAAAUAGUUGUUUCUUUAAUUAUGAAAUGGAUAAUGGAAGUUCUGGAUCUGAGACUUAUACUUUUCUUAAAUCAAGUAAUAAGUUUGGCAGUUGACUCUUAGUUAGAAUUGAAAAAAAAGAGGGGGGGGGGGGGUAUUAUUAGAAGUCACUGGAAAGUGAGAACAUGAAGUACAUGUAUAUUUAAUGUAAACAGAAAUCUCAUUCUUAAAUUGCAAGACUGUCAGGACUGUAAUCUUUAAGAAUGAGUACUUGUGCUGGCCUGCACAUACAUGUAGGCCUACAUACAACUCUGAUGCAAUCAUGCAAAAUCAGUAAGCUAAACUCUGCCAUAAUUGCAAAAGCUUUAUUUCUCUCAAAUGUUGCAACAUGCAUGUACAUGUGUAGGUCAACUUAGUGAUAUUCUAGAUUUAUAUUU